UACGGGGGGGGCAAGCGUUGUUCGGAAUUACUGGGCGUAAAGGGCUCGUAGGUGGCCAACUAAGUCGGACGUGAAAUCCCUCAGCUUAACUGGGGAACUGCGUCCGAUACUGGAUGGCUCGAGUUUGGGAGAGGGAUGCGGAAUUCCAGGUGUAGCGGUGAAAUGCGUAGAUAUCUGGAGGAACACCGGUGGCGAAGGCGGCAUCCUGGACCGGCAUUGACGCUGAGGCGCGAAAGUCAGGGGAGCAAACGGG
Molecule: ribosomal RNA, 253 nt
Filed under: uncultured bacterium
Lineage: Bacteria
Description: partial 16S ribosomal RNA
Rfam family: Bacterial small subunit ribosomal RNA
Source: RNAcentral